CAGGCAAAUGGAAAAUCAUUGCGUCAUAUCAUAAGUACCCUGAAUCUACCACAUCAUUGGAGUUUGAGGUCAAGGAAUACGUUUUGCCCACAUUUGAGGUUACCAUUGAGGCUCCACAGCCUUACCAUAUUUUGAAGAGCAAGUCCUUUCCAUUCAACAUCUCUGCUAGAUAUACUUAUGGGAAGGGGGUCAACGGUAUAGCAUAUAUUCGAUUUGGACUUAUUGAUGAAAAGGGUAAUAAGAUAUAUCUUCCAGGCACUGAAAAGCAGAUA
Molecule: long non-coding RNA, 272 nt
Organism: Sinocyclocheilus rhinocerous
Lineage: Eukaryota; Metazoa; Chordata; Actinopteri; Cypriniformes; Cyprinidae
Exons: 3
Source: RefSeq, a predicted model, not a curated record